UGGAUGGCGACCGGCGCACGGGUGCGUAACGCGUAUGCAACCUACCCACAACAGGGGGAAAGCCCGGGGAAACCCGGAUUAAUACCCCAUAAUGCUAUAGAUCCGCAUGGUGAAAUAGUUAAAGAUUUAUUGGUUGUGGAUGGGCAUGCGUCUGAUUAGUUAGUUGGUCAGGUAACGGCUCACCAAGACGACGAUCAGUAGGGGGUCUGAGAGGAUGAUCCCCCACACUGGUACUGAGACACGGACCAGACUCCUACGGGAGGCAGCAGUAGGGAAUAUUGGUCAAUGGGGGCAACCCUGAACCAGCCAUGCCGCGUGCAGGAAGACGGCCUUCUGGGUUGUAAACUGCUUUUAUACAGGAAGAAAUAGGCCCUGCGGGGCCAGUUGACGGUACUGUAUGAAUAAGCACCGGCUAACUCCGUGCCAGCAGCCGCGGUAAUACGGAGGGUGCAAGCGUUGUCCGGAUUCACUGGGUUUAAAGGGUACGUAGGCGGCUAUUUAAGUCAGUGGUGAAAUGUGUCGGCUCAACCGGCAACGUGCCAUUGAUACUGAAUAGCUGGAGUGUUGUAUAGGUGGGCGGAAUUGAUGGUGUAGCGGUGAAAUGCAUAGAUACCAUCAAGAACACCAAUUGCGAAGGCAGCUCACUGGGCAACAACUGACGCUGAGGUACGAAAGCGUGGGGAGCGAACAGGAUUAGAUACCCUGGUAGUCCACGCUGUAAACGAUGAUCACUCGGUGCUUGUAUUUAUAUAUGAGUGCCCAAGGGAAACCGAUAAGUGAUCCACCUGGGGAGUACGCUCGCAAGAGUGA
This 810-nucleotide ribosomal RNA is filed under the name uncultured bacterium. RNAcentral's name for it is "bacterial SSU rRNA". It matches the Rfam family "Bacterial small subunit ribosomal RNA", at positions 85 to 897 of the family's 1533-position model. The record is from RNAcentral.